RNAcentral lists this ribosomal RNA (239 nucleotides) under uncultured Lactobacillus sp. Its description in RNAcentral is "partial 16S ribosomal RNA". It matches the Rfam family "Bacterial small subunit ribosomal RNA", at positions 123 to 355 of the family's 1533-position model. Lineage: Bacteria; Bacillati; Bacillota; Bacilli; Lactobacillales; Lactobacillaceae. The record is from RNAcentral.
AACCUGCCCAAGAGAUCGGGAUAACACCUGGAAACAGAUGCUAAUACCGGAUAANAACAGAUGAUGCCUAUCAACUGUUUAAAAGAUGGUUCUGCUAUCACUCUUGGAUGGACCUGCGGUGCAUUAGCUAGUUGGUAGGGUAACGGCCUACCAAGGCGAUGAUGCAUAGCCGAGUUGAGAGACUGAUCGGCCACAUUGGGACUGAGACACGGCCCAAACUCCUACGGGAGGCAGCAGUC